GCCUCGCUCGGACUCUGCCCACUGUCCCCCCGCUUCAAAUGCUCCCCUUACGCGUGCGAGCAAUUUGUUCUCGCCUCGUGCUCCUGUCUCCCGACUGUUUCCCACAUUCUCAUCUCCAGCCCCAUCUUAGUCUGCGUGUUCUCAGCGAGCUCUCUCCUGGACCCUGGUGAGGCACCCGCCCUCUCAGCCUCUCAGCCUUCGCUGUGCCGGGCAGAGGCCCCUGGGAGGACCGGCUCUGUCCCCGCGACAUCAGGUCCUCGUGGUCGCGUCCGCUGCCUCGGAAGAGUCCCCGGACUUGGUCCCCGCUCUCGUCGUGAGUUCACAAGGAAGUUUGGUCCCUGUUUUCUCAUCCAUUUGUGGACUCCUGGGAGCCCGUGUUCCAAUUGUAGCCACCUCCCCUGGGGUUCCCACGGUCACCCUGCUUCAGUGGUCACCCUGGAUUCGUUCGAGGGGACGGUCACCCUGCUGCUGGUGGGGACUGGAUAUGUCCGUGACUUUGCAAGGAACGCGUCUGUGCCACCGCUUUCCCUCGUCUGUGACGUUUUCUCCAGAGGGCAGGACUGCAACGGAAGCAGACCGCAUGGCCCCCCAGGGCCGUCCAGCAGCCGAGGGGGUCGUGCUGUGGGAGGCUGCUGGCGUGCAGACCGAGACCCUGGGCUUCCGCGCCCGGAGACGGCAGCCAAGCCGGGCCAGCCUGACCAGGGCUCAGCACACGCUCUGCUCGGAACUGCGGGGAGCCCCUGGCUGGGGGCAGUGAGGAGUAAGUGAGGGAAUGCUGAGCCCUGCAAGGACAGUUUGCUCGAUGCUGUUGGAAAAUGUCUCAUCGCCCAGCUGGGCUGGGGGCUGGGGGGAGGUUGGCUCACUGGUACCCCUGAGGUGGCUUUGCACCCACAGACCCUCCCUUAGGCAAGGGCUAGUACGGUGUGGCCUGGCUUGGUCAUUGGUCGUUCACCCCGUGAGCAGAGCCCUUCCAGGGAAGCGAAGGGAUGGUAAGGACCAGCCUGUUGGAUUUCCUGAAGCCUUCGUCUUCCCUGGCCUUGGGGAAGGGGAAUUUGGGUUCUGAUUUCUUUCUUUGAUGCUAAUGAUCCGGGUAGUUUUAUUUUUUAUUUAUUUUUAAGAUUUUUUUUUUUAAUUUUUGAGAGAGAGAGCACACAAGCAGGGUGAGGGGCAGAGGGAGAAACCGACUUCCCGCUGAGCAGGGAGCCCAACUUGGGGCUCGAUCACAGGACCCCAAGAUCACAACCUGAGCCAAAGGCAGACGCUUCACUGACUGAGCCACCCAGGCGCCCCUGAUGAACGGGGCGGGUUUAAUAGGCCACUGACCUGCUCUCAGGACAAACAGCAUCCUGGUUUGUCCAGGUCUGUGGUUUUCCAGCAGGUAGGGCUCAGCACUAAAACUGGGUCCCAAACCAGGACAAGCUCCUCUCACUCUCUUUUUCAUUGGAGGCCACUGGGAGAGGAGAGAGACCGGAGGGCAGAGAGGGUCCUCUGAGCCCCCAGGAGCCCAGGGGUCCGCCAUCCUGCUGACACGCGUCCACGUGUCACCCACUGCUCUCCUCCCCGGCAGUCUGAAAUUUCUCAGACUGUUGCUGCCACCCCUGUGCGCCCAUCCCAGGCAACACCGCCUCCCUGGUUACUUUAACGUCCAACACUCAGGACCUAGGGCACAGGUGUGGCCUGACCUGUGCAGAUAAGCGUGUCAUGUCUACUCCUCAAUUCUACACAUCCUACCUUCAUUUAUACAACCUAAAACCUCAUCCUCUUCUGAAGAGCAGUGUCCUCCUUCUCUCUGACCUGCCUGAGACUAAAAUCUACCAGACGGCCCCUUCCAAGUCCUGUUCUUGUAAUACACUCAAAGGUUUUGCAGCCUUAGAAGAACUUGUGAACCUGGAUGGAGGGGAAGGAGGGAUUGGAGCAAGCGGGUUUGGCCAGGCUGGGACGAGAGCGCAGAGGCUGCAUGACCAGUGGUCGGGGAAAGGCAAGCGACGGUGGUGCCCACAUUUGCUGAAUGAGGAAGCAAAUGUCUUUAUUGAGAAAAUGCGUGGCUGGUGAGAUCAGAGGUCCCUGCUCUCACCCUCAGGGAUGGGAGACUGCGUUGGUGUGGGUGAAAGGCACAAAACAGAGAGGGUCCCAGGAGGGAACAGGGGGAGGUCUCCGAGCCCGUGCUCCCGCCCCCGAGAGCAUCCGGACCAGCCCUCCCGGCGGCCACUGCGCGCGCGGUCGGCCCCUAUCUACACCGGCCGCAUCUUCAUCUCCGACACCUUGUAGCUGUAGUUGUAGCCUUUCCCCGACUUCCAGUUGACGCCGUUUGCAAAGGACUCGUGGGAACCCCGGAGGUAGAGACCAUUGAGGUUUGACGAGUGACAGAAACUGUACCACCAGCCCCCCUGGUAGCGGUCCGCACAGUUUUCAGAAUUUGAGUCGUUGUCCUGGUCUUUGGUGGAGAAGGGCUGGUCGUUGUGGUAUGUCAGGGAAUCACCGGCAUGGAAGGAGAACGGGCCAUUUUAUUUGGAUCCCAGGUCUAGGCAGGAACUGCAGUGACCGGGUGUUCAAGAUGUGCACUGCACAAGUCUAGGGGGUGCCAGGGAACACUUGCUCUCUGGUACAGUGGCCUUGGUGUCCUGUCACCCCAUCUGUCCCUGCCAGCCGGCAGGCCCCUGUCUUGGAGGGAGGCCACUCUCUGCCCCGGACCCCCAGGUUCCUCGGCAGGGAGCUCCGGGCACCAGGAAGCAGGAACUCGGGCUC
This is a long non-coding RNA of Ailuropoda melanoleuca (giant panda), 2745 nucleotides long. Lineage: Eukaryota; Metazoa; Chordata; Mammalia; Carnivora; Ursidae. The record is from Ensembl.